RNAcentral lists this long non-coding RNA (677 nucleotides) under Monodelphis domestica (gray short-tailed opossum). Its description in RNAcentral is "lncRNA (ENSMODG00000034782.2)". The record is from RNAcentral. Lineage: Eukaryota; Metazoa; Chordata; Mammalia; Didelphimorphia; Didelphidae.
CAGGAAGUGAAUAUUGUCUGUUUUCUGUUUAGCUCCUCAGCCUGCUUUUUAUGAGGCCAUGAUAUUAAUGGCACUUGGAAUGCAUUGUUUGUCUCCAUGUUCACUUAAAUGUCAUCUUUGCUUGCAUCCCAGCUGCUCAGGUGCUGUGCCAAACACUGGGGCUAGAAGGAGAAGCAGAAGAUCUUUCCAGCCCUCAAAAGAAGCUCACCAUCUAAUGAGGGAAGACACUGAAAAGGGGAGGGGAUAUGUAGCCCCAAGGUGUGAUGAGAUACUGCAUUUGAACUGGGAACUGAUCCAACAAGGCAUCAGUUGUUAAGUUGAACUCAUCUUGCAAAAUGAUGAAUUUGGGGAGAUUGCAAAAUCCAGGAGAUUAGCCAGGUAGGAAAUGAUAAGGUAAAUUCCCUUGGUGUCCUCCUUAAAUGGUAAAGGAUCUGGGAGGGAGAGGGAAGAAGUUAAGAACAAGGAAAGGUCUGCAGAUGCUGAGAUUUGAGCUGUCUUGAAGGAAGCCUGGAGAUACCAAGAGAGGGAGGUAAUAGGGCAAGGCAUUUCAGGCAAGGGGGAUGACCGGUGAAGAGUCUGUCAGUCAAAAGACAAAUUAUUAAGCACCUUCUAUGUGCCAGGUACUGUAAUAAGUGCUCAAUAAUAAAAAGAAAGGCAACAAGAAAUCCUUAUUCUCA